GUGCCAGCCGCCGCGGUAAUACGUAGGGGGCAAGCGUUGUCCGGAUUUAUUGGGCGUAAAGAGCGUGUAGGCGGCUUGGUAGGUCCGCUGUGAAAACUCGAGGCUCAACCUCGAGAUGUCGGCGGAAACCACUUGGCUAGAGUCCGGAAGAGGAGAGUGGAAUUCCCGGUGUAGCGGUGAAAUGCGCAGAUAUCGGGAAGAACACCUAUGGCGAAGGCAGCUCUCUGGGACGGUACUGACGCUGAGACGCGAAAGCGUGGGGAGCGAACAGGAUUAGAAACCCCCGUAGUCC
RNAcentral lists this ribosomal RNA (292 nucleotides) under uncultured bacterium. RNAcentral's name for it is "partial 16S ribosomal RNA". It matches the Rfam family "Bacterial small subunit ribosomal RNA", at positions 505 to 796 of the family's 1533-position model. The record is from RNAcentral.